Long non-coding RNA from Mus musculus (house mouse), 3875 nucleotides. RefSeq annotates it as predicted gene, 49767. The record is from RefSeq and is a predicted model, not a curated record. The transcript is spliced from 3 exons. NCBI's taxonomy places the organism in Eukaryota, Metazoa, Chordata, Mammalia, Rodentia, Muridae.
CACACACACACAGUCCCCUACUUUUUUUUUAUUCUGAGAUAAUUUGAGUUAACUGAGUAAAUGUUCCUUGCAACCAAUAUAGCCUCAAGACAAAAGAGUUCAUAAUAUAAUGUUGAGUGGGAAAGAAAGAACAUAGCAUUUUAACUAUGUUGUAUUUAUAGCUGCAAGGAAUAAUGGCGUUAAAUCAAGUACUAAAAGAGAACAAAGAAAAUGAAAGCAAUUAAUGUGUUAGGAUGGUAGAAUUAUGGGUGGUUCUCCUUUUCUUAGUUUUGCAGCUGCUUCUUGUAGUGGAAGCCCUAAGAUAUAUACAAACCCUCAGACUUGUAGUUUAACCUGACCCUCUCGGAUGUAUGGUGUCAAAGCCCCAAAUCAGCUUCCUCUUUCCAGAGUUGCCUCACACAAGGAGGCCUUCCAGAACUAUCCUCGUGUUUCUAAGAUAAAAAUUGGUCAGAAUAAAAUACGUUGUGUUUAAUUUUUUUAUUUACUAAAGCAAUUAUUAUUUGCUACCACCAAGAACCCCUGUUCAAUUCUAGAAGACCUUUAGGGAGAUAUCAAGUAAUUUAGACAGUUUUUAUUUCCAUAAGGUGGAAAAGCUUCAUUUUUUUUAUUUUGUUUUUGUAGCAAACUUUCCCCCAAAGGAACCAUCUUGCCUUGAUAAUUAUGAGUAACUGGAGGUUUUCAGUAUUUGUUGAAUAUGGUCAGUUUUUAUGCUAAAAGUCAAUAUUUUGUUUAGUUAUGCUGUAAAAUAGACUCAAGGGUUAUCUAAUAUCUUCCCACAGAAGAGAUCAUAUGAGCUCAUUAGAAAUGGCAGAAGCCCUCGGGCAAGGGGGACCAUGGGGAACUGGAAAUGUGGGAUGGGGCUCACCAGUCUUAACUCCUUAGUCCAGCAUAUUCUCUAAGGAUUCUCAUAUAGUAUUAUGGUUGUGUACAAUAAUAAGAAAAUUAUUGUUUCUGAGGGAAUACCUAUACUUUUGUAGAAAGAAACAAUCCCAACAUAUGUAUAAAAUAACUGUCAGGCAUAUGCCUGUAAUACCAGCCCUGAGAAGGCUGAGGCAGGUGGAUUAAGGCUAGCUUAGGCUACAUAGUGAGACCUUGUCUCAGGAAACCUUAUUCUCUGCCUUUUCCCACUGAAGCAGGGUCUUUCCCUGUGUUGAAGUUCACGUUCUUUAGACAGGCUGGCAGCCGGCAAGCCCCGGCAACCCUCUUGGCACAGUCAUCAGAGUACUGGGGUUGCUGCAUGGGUGUCAGGAUCUGAACUCAGGUCCUCAUGGCUGCACAGCAAAGACUUUUAACCACUGAGCAACCAUCCUCCUUUAAGCCCCAUUAAACCAACUCGUCAGCAUCUUCAGUGCACUCAGAAACCCAGAGACAACAAUGGUUCAUUCCGCUCUGCACUGUCAGUAAAGACAAAAGAGGUCUGAAGAUCAGAGCUCCCAGAUGCUAGAGUUCAAUGAUGCCCUGUGGUCAACAAUGCAAACUUUAUCCACAAAUCUCUUCAGUAGAAAGAAGGGGGACCCACGAGGUGGUGACCCAAGAAUACACCAUCAACCUUCAUCAGGAUACUCAUACAGAGGGCAUUGAGAAGCAUGCCACUGAGAACGGUCUAAGAGACUGGGAAAUUUGUCAUAAAUACCUUGGGCCUGCAGAUGUAUGCAUAGAUACCAGGCUCAAUGGAGCUAGCUGGGCUAAAGGAAUAAAAACGUCCCAUAUGAUAUUCAUGUGUGCUUGUCCAGAGAACAUAAGAAUGAAGAUUUAAACAAGCACCUUGCACUGGUUACACAGCGACCUGUGACUGUUUAAAAGAAGUAACCCAUUUGUCUAAGUUAGCACUCCUUGUCAACUCGGCACAGCCUAGAGUCAUCAGAGAGGAAACUCUCAAUUAAGGAACUGUAUAGAUCAGAUUGGCCUAAGGGAAUGCGUGGGAAGGGGCGAGAGUGUCUAGAUUAUUAAUGGAUACAGGAGGACUCAGCCCUCCAAGUGCAGCAUAGUUCUCUGGGCAGGCAAUUUUAGGCUGUAUAGGGAAACUAGAGAUGCAUGAUGCUUUGAGCAACCCAGCCAGUAGCAUUGCUCCAUUGUCUGCUUCAGGGUCCUGUUUGAGCUCCUACCCUAGCUUCCUCCAUGAUGGAACUGUGUGCCAAAUGAAACCUUUCCUCCCCUAAGUCACUUUGUGUAAUAGCAUCUGCUUCAUAGAGUUUGCCAAAGCAAAGAUUGAAGCUAGAAUACCACUAAUUAUCAAAUAGCUAUCAAAUUACAUGUGUGUGUGUAUAUAGGUGGGGCAUGUGUGUGUGUGUGUGUGUGUGUGUGUGUGUGUAUGCCUUUGCACAUACAUACACAGGGAGCAGGGGAAAAGGAGUGAAGGAGAGAGAGAGACAGACAGACAGACGGAGAGGGAUCUUUCUACUUUGACUUAUACUUUUGUUGUACUGUCUUAUGUCCUUUGGAUUGGGACAGGCAGUUCUGGAUAAGAUUCUAAGGCCAGCAUAACUACAACCUGACUCUUGUCAUUUUAAAGUUCCAAUGUGUCACUUGGGUUUGUUUUGUUUUGUUUUGUUUGAAACAGGUCUCUCUAGCUUACUUACUAUGUAACCCAAGCCGACUUCAAGCUUACAGCAGUCCUCUUUUCCUAUCUCCCAAGUGCUGGAGCUACAGGUGUGUGCCUCCACCCCAGCUUGUGAGUCUAUUUUUGGACUACAUGUAAUAAUAUAUAUAAUAACAGUUACAGUGUUAAAAGAGUGGUCUCCUCCAAAACUGAACCCUAAUGGAAGACCAAAGCACCCCACCCACCAAAAGAAAACACAGAAGGAACUUAAAGACAAAAUGGAUUGCAUGCUAGCCUUUAGCAGAAUUCCCAGCAUUGCGAACUAGUCAAUAGAGAAAAAUUCCAAACAUCUUACGCAGGCAGCCACCAGCUCCACCUGCUUGUCCUCCAAGCCUUCUGUUUCCCACCCAUCCCAGGUCAAAAUGACUGCUAGUGUUCUGAGUCAGCUCCAUCUCCAGGAGACGACAAGUGGGCUCAGGAGCUCCCUGGCCAGCUUGGGCAGAACUGGGAGAAGCAGGUGGUUGUCCUUUGCCAGGGCAUUAUAGCUGUGACUAAGUGGGUGUUUCUUCCUUGCCUGAAGCCUGGUCUGAAACAAAGGCCAGUGUACCAACCACAGAGUCAGAGGACUUCCUGCAUCCUCUCUCCAAAUUGAGGGAGUGGCUGGUCACGCUCAGGACCAACCCAUUGGAAGAUGCUCUGGGAACCUACAAUCUGAGGCUGAUGUAAUGCAUUUUUCUUAAGGGCGUUUUGUCAACAGAUGAUAAUAGGUGUUGGAAGCAGCCCAGAUGAGUCACUUUUGCAAAUUCCUAAUAAUUGCUUCGGAAGGCUGGAAGCUGAGGUUGUCCGAAUUCUGUUAAGUCUCGGCUUGGAUGACGCACACCUCAGGAAGCUUCUCCCCAAAAGCAGGUGACCUGGGAACUUUCAGCACUUCCUCCUUUUGAUUUCUUUCAUAAGACUUCUUCUGCUGCCUGAACAGCUCCUGCUAGCACUUUGAAAGCUCGUGAGCAAGAAGUUUCUAGUUCAAUCAGCUUGCUUUCUGUCUACCUUAAAACUGAGGCGUGUGGUGUCUUCAGCAUCAGGAUCUUACCCUCUGGUUCUAUGCUGCACUGGGUCAGGCAACCACAUCAAAUGUCCAGACAAGAACAAAAAUGGGGGCUGGAGAGGUGGCUCAGUGGUGAAGAGCACUGCCUGUUCUUCCAGAGGUCCUGAGUUCAAUUCCCAGGAGCCACAUGGAGGCUCACAUCCCAUCCAUCUGUAGUAAGGUCUGAUGCCUGCAGGUAUCCAUGCAGAUAGAGCACCCAUAUACAUUAGAUAAAUAAAAAAUAAAUCUUGAAAA